This 531-nucleotide long non-coding RNA is filed under the name Homo sapiens (human). RNAcentral's name for it is "non-protein coding lnc-C21orf91-7:1". Lineage: Eukaryota; Metazoa; Chordata; Mammalia; Primates; Hominidae. The record is from RNAcentral.
CGCCCGACGACGCGGGAGCCGCACGCGCCGGACGAGGCUCGCUGCGCUCCCUGUUGCCCAGCGCGGGCCCGUUGAGGCGGAGCCCUCAGUUCCCGGCCAGGACACGGUCUGGGCCGCCGAAUCUCCGGCCGAAGAGCGGCGGCGGCAGCGGCGGGAAAAAAAUGAAGAAUGAAAUUGCUGCCGUUGUCUUCUUUUUCACAAGGCUAGUUCGAAAACAUGAUAAGUUGAAAAAAGAGGCAGUUGAGAGGUUUGCUGAGAAAUUGACCCUAAUACUUCAAGAAAAAUAUAAAAAUCACUGGUAUCCAGAAAAACCAUCGAAAGGACAGGCCUACAGGUAAAGGAUUAGAUUGGAUUAAGCAGAGGCUGAUCAACCCCUGAGGUGGGUUCAAGGCCGGAUGAUUGAAGGGUGUGCAGACCAUGCCUACAGGUGUUUCAUCUGCAAAAUAUAGAACUCUGGGGUGUUUGUAUAUUUUCUCCUUACUCAUUUUAAAACAAGUAUUUGUUGGCGGAGUGGUGGAGUCCCACUGCCUG